This 257-nucleotide ribosomal RNA is filed under the name uncultured bacterium. RNAcentral describes it as "partial 16S ribosomal RNA". It matches the Rfam family "Bacterial small subunit ribosomal RNA", at positions 524 to 777 of the family's 1533-position model. The record is from RNAcentral.
CACGUAGGGGCCAAGCGUUGUCCGGAUUUAUUGGGCGUAAAGAGCUCGUAGGCGGUUCGACAAGUCGGGUGUGAAAACUCCGGGCUCAACCCGGAGACGCCACCCGAUACUGUCGUGACUGGAGUCCGGUAGGGGAGUGGGGAAUUCCUGGUGUAGCGGUGAAAUGCGCGGAUAUCGGGAGGAACACCUAUUGCGAAGGCAGCUCGCUGGGACGUUACGUGACGCUGAGACGCGAAAAGCGUGGGGAGCAAACAGGG